Vespa velutina is the source of this 2542-nucleotide long non-coding RNA. RefSeq lists it as uncharacterized. NCBI's taxonomy places the organism in Eukaryota, Metazoa, Arthropoda, Insecta, Hymenoptera, Vespidae. The transcript has 3 exons. The record is from RefSeq and is a predicted model, not a curated record.
UUGAGUUUCUCAACGACAAAAUGACGAAGAUGAUUGCGUAGAUGACGUACGAUGAUGUCUGAAAAUGUUGAAAACGUAGCGUGUAUGUACGUGUGUUGUAUGUCUAUAUAUGUAUGUAUGCUUGAUCGUGUUGAUUUGGUCUCUGUCUCUCUCUAGUAAACUUCGUCGCGUUGCCAGGAGACCGAUAACCCUUGCGACAAAAGUUUUGAUCCUCCGUACCGUCGAUUAUUCGCAGACAAUUCUCCUCUUUUUUUUCUUUUUCUUUUUUUUUUGUUUAGUUUGUUUGUUAUUGUUGUUGUUGUUAAGUUCCUUUCCUUGAGUAGACGCGAAGCUCCGUCGCAUCGAUUCGAUCUUUGAAAAAGAAGAAAAAGGAAAGAAAAAAAAAUAAAUAAAAAGAUUUUUACGAUUUACGAGGUUCACAAGGUUUCAUCUUCUAAUCGAAAAUAGAAGCGUGCCAAUCAUCGUUGAUAAAUACGCAUACGCGUUUUAUCCUUUAAAAUCAAUCAAAUUUAGGAAAUUUAUUUUCAUUUAAUUUCAGAAUUUCGUAAUGAUUGUUCGAUUAGCGGAUAAUUUGGGAUCAUUAAUUAUCGAAAAAUCGAUAGAGAAUCUCAAACGUGUCUAAAUAUGAACGAUUAUAAACUCGCGCGCGAAAUAGAGAGAGAUAGAGAUAGAGAACCAGAGAGAGAGAGAGAGAGAGAGAGAGAGAGAGAGAGAGAGAGAGAGAGAGAGAGAGAGAUUUCGAUAAACAGAAACGCUCGAAUGGAUGGUUGAAAAUUCUCUAUCGUGUAUGCCGACAUAAAUUGCCGUAAUUACCAGUUCUCUACGCGUUCUAACCUGUGUAUAUACUCAUACAUCUAUACAAUACAUUUACGUUUAUAAACACAUAUACGUAACAUAUACCCGAGCGAUAUUGUUUUCCGAUGCAGUAAAUAACUAACAAAUGACGAUACGGUUGGCGGGCUCGUGCAGUGACUCUAAUUACUCGAAAUACGAAAGAUAAAAUGCUUUAAAUUUAUACCAAACCCCAUUAUAGAAAAUCAAUAAAAAACAAUCUGUAAGUUCGAAGUGGACCAACCUAAUGAGAGAAGAGGAAUAAUAUUACCACGAUGAUAUGAACAUAUGUAUAUUAUAUGAGCGCGUGCACGUGUGAGAUUGUCGUAAGAUUGUGUCACAAAGAAAACAGCGACCGCAAAACAGAGCCAAAACAAAAAUAUUCUAACAUAUCGUUACGACAACGACGACACGACGACGAACGCGGAGCAACUUGAUAAUACGUUCAAGGCUGCCUACUCGCAAAUAUGUCACUAUAGAUAUACGGAAUACAAGUUACGCACGCAAAUAUAUGUGUGCAACGUAAGCCCUAAACAUGUGCACCACACACCUAAGCGAAAUAAUGCAAUGAAAUUUAUAAGAGAUAUGUGUAUCGAAGUUGAAAUUAUGGCAAAAAAAAAAGAAAAAAGAAUUAUUUUUUGUAAUGCAAUCAUCUUUAUCACCAGUUAGGAAUAUGUGAGUUAAUUGAUGAUGCAUCGAUUGUCAAGAAAUUAGAUCAGAAAACGAUCGACGAUUUUUCGCCUAAUUGUUUCCUUGGAUUAUUAUAUUUCUAUGAUUCUUUCGUCGCAAAAGAAAUAAACGAAAAAAUAUCAUAACUUUUUAAUCAUUGUCUUGUUAUAUCGAUAAACCUAAUAUGAUGAAAAUAAAUAUAUAAAACUUCAAUUCGUUCGAAACUUUCCAUUUACGAAUUACUAUAAUAAUUCGAGAUUGAUCCAAAGUACACUUCUCUAACACAUCAUUAAAUAUAAUAUUCGAAUUCAAAGGGUAUAUGAACAAAUUUUUUGAAAGUCAUAUCCUGUGAGAGAUUCGUACUGAAAAAAAUUAGAGUUACCGGUCGGCUACUGCGCAUCGUCGAGGAAGGAUGCGAGCAAUUAAGUUACACUGCGUACUAUAAAAUGUGUUCGUCUGUGUUUGUACGUGUACGACAGACAGAGAGAGAGAGAGAGAGAGAGAGAGAGAGAGAGAGAGAGAGAGAGAGAGAGGGAGACAGAGGACUCGUGAAGUUAUCUCGCGUGGGGAUCGAGAUACCCGUCUUUCGAAUUAGAAAGAAAAAGAUGGAUGGAUAGAAGAAACAAAAUGUCGUAUGCACGCAUUUACAACGUGAGAGAGAAAGAGAGAAAGAGAGAAAGCACGUGCUCGUAGUAGAAAAAAAUAUGAAUCAUUUCUCUCCGCGCCAUUAACGCAUAUGCGUAUUCGCAAAGGACCGUCCCUUAGCUUACAUUCAUUUGUACGACGUAACCCCUCGCCUGCCCAUAAUAAUUUUGAAGAUCCCUGCGUGAUCCCUAUGUGUCUCCCUGUCGGAAAAAGAAGGGGAAAGAGAGUGCAAUAACUUCGAGCACCAAAAAUGUCAUUGUCCAUUAUCAAAACGAGAAUAAAUACGUAAUACCUAAGAUAACAGAUAUAUGAUAAAAAAAAUAAAUGCAUAAUGAAACAAAAAUAAUUCGCUUCCAAAUAAAAUAAAUAAUUACAUUAAAAUUAUAUAAAUUAUUAU